CUCCGCACCAAGACAGCCGUGAUUGGAAGAUAACACAGCGGGUUAGAACUCUGUCUUGCUCUCUGCAAAUCUGUGACGGGAAAACUACUGUUCCUGCCAUUCCUAACUUCUGAUGCACUGGCCUCUCCAUUGGUCCGCCCUGGUGGGCAGUGUGGAGCUUUGCUGUUUAGACUCUGUGGUGAUUAAUUGUAGGUGUCCACUUGACUGGAUUAAGGGUUACCUACAGAACUGGCAAAGUGUAAUUGCUGGGUGCGUUGGUGAGGAGUUUCCAGAGGAGGCUGGCAUGUGAAUCAGCAGGCUGAGUGGGGAAGAUCCACCCUCAGUGUGGACAGCUGCCAUCCAAUUGGCUGGGGUUUGGGCAGAACAGAAAGGUGAUCUGCACUCUCCUGGGGCUGAGAUGUGCUCUUUGUCGGAACUGCUGGCCCUGCAGCCUUUCACAAUGGACUCCAGCAGCCUCCUGCAUUCUCAGGACUUCAGAGAUCGGACUCGGGACCUUGCGCUUGCAAGCCAGGUGGCGGCACUACUGAGCUAAAUCACCAGCCCUGUGACACCAUUUUAUUCCUGGCUCUUCCUCAAAGUCAAAAUGACCAUGAGAGUCAUACCGCAUAGACCAGAGGAGGGGCACUUUUCACUGAGAAAGACAGAAGAAAAGAUACAAUGCAGAUGCAGACUGUCCUCAGAAAGUUACCUGCACUGGGGAGAGGGGGAUUCCCUGGGAGACAGGGUGCAUUUUCCCUCGGCCCUCUUAUAAUCUCCUUUUCCAUCACUUCCCCUUGGGUGGGGAGAGGCUCACAAUGUAAGUAGUUUUGCUCUGGCACUCGCUCCUGCCACGAUGUGAUGCCUCAUCACAAGAAAUGAUGGGACUUUUCAGGUCUGGAGAGGCCACACAGAAGCAAGCUGACAGCUGGGCAAUACAAGGAGACUUUCAUGCAGCGGCUCUGAUAGUGACAGGCAGCCCCAGUGAGCUGAGGAACAUUUCUAAAGCUUAAGCUGCCAUGUCACACACAGCAACACUUUCAGAGUGUCAAAUGCUGGAGCUGUAAUGACUUUCUUGUGCGUAUUGUUUGAAAAUAGAAGUGAGUAUGCUAUUCUAAAGCUGGUGUUGAGACAGUGUAGACAAGACUAAUUUGGUAAAAAGUAAAUUGAUAAGAAUUUCAAAGAACAGUUCCAGCAAGAACUGAUAAGAGCAGUUUCAUCGAGUAAAUUCAGACACAACACAUACUUCCUGAGAACUUAAGUGAGCCCAGCACCAGACACUGGGAUGAGGUCUUUUAUCCCAGUCUUGGGGUUAAUUCUCAUGAAGACCUUAAUGGAGAAAUAUUACCUUCUUCCAUGCGUUACAACUGAGACUGACGUGGUGGCUCUGAAGUGUUUGUUCAAGUCACACAGCUACUGUGGGAGGGAAAAAGAGUUCAAACCAGGUCUGUCUGCCUUGAGAUUCACUUUGAUUUCAGUGAAAGAAGAGGAACUUUUUCACAGUUAUUUGUCUGGGUCUAUAUGUACACACAAGCAAGAGCUCUCCGGCAGUCACUUGAGCUAAAAUUUCUCUGGUUCACUUUACAAUGUGAAAUCUUUUGGAAAGAAAUGUGGUAGAGACAAUGCCAUGUAACUCCACACAUAAGCUGAGGAGGAGGGGUAUUAAGCUGUGGCUGUGUUUGUGGCUUGUGUUUUGUGGUUUCGCAUUUUUGUUUCUUGAGUGCUUAUUAUAUGUCAGGCUUCUCACUUGGUCCUCACAGUGCCCUUUAAAGGUGGUCACAGUCACAGGUGGCUUUACAGGGAAACAUUCACAAGGAGCAGUAUAUCAUUAGGUGUAUUCAGAGUCUGUGCAAAGAUUAUAGAGUGUACUUACACAGACCUAGGUCAGUGCUUCUGUAUGGUCUCUGAAUGCAACACAGAGACUCAGUAAACACAAGAUAUAUGAGGCUGCUGCCAGUGUAACACGGUAUACUGUUUUUAAUCAGUAGAAUUAGGCUAAAAUAACAAUAAAAUCAUAGUGUGGUCAAUACAUAAGCCAGUAGCAUGUUUACUAUCAUUAUUGAGAAUUCUAUGCUAUACAAAACUGUAUGUACUAUAUUUUUAUAUGAUUGCCAGGGGAGUUCAUUUGUAACAGCCUUACUACCCACACAUGACCAAUGUGCUGUGCUAUAUUGUUAUCAUGGCUACAACAUCACUAGGUGAUAGGAAUCUUUUAGCUCCAUUAAAAUGCUAUGGGACCAUGAAUCAUGUAUGUGGUUUGUCAUUGACUAAAACAUUUUGUGGCUCACGACUAUGGUAGUAUGUGCACUUUACAAAUAAGAGGGAAAGGGUAUUUGGAAGGUUAUGUCCUUAAAGCUCACAGAGCUAGCUAGUCACUAUCAAAGCCAAGAUCAGAAUUUAGGUUUUCUGGUUUGAAAGCCCUUGUUAUUUUUGCCACAAAAUCCUGUCAGCUUGUUGUUCUGAAUCUGAGACCAAGGAAGAGCUAGGAUUUUUCUUUCUGAGAAAUGUGAUGAGUGAAAUGAGAGAACAGAGAGGUCCCAGCAAAUACCCUUAAACCCAUAUUGGCUUCUGAGUGGUGUGUGUGUGGGGAGCAAGAUCUAGACCAGGCAAGGUAGGCGGACGGGAACCUCAUCCGGUCCAACCCGGAAGCUCAGGCCUAGAGGAGACACUGCCUGGAGGCCACUGUGGGAUGCGAGAGAGCACGAGGCUGCCACCAAAUCCUGAUCCAGCAAGUGGUUUCAUCUGGGAGGCUUCAUUUUUCCCCUUUAAAAUGGGGAUAAAGGAGGCCCUGUGGAAGGGAAAGAAGACAGGGAAAGUGACUCUGAGGUAGGGGUUCAGUAGACUCUAGCCUUCCGGGCCACAGCCCUAAAUGGUCAGGCAGGGCAUCACUCCUUGUCUGGGAACGCUUGGAGGCUGUUCUCCAGCCUGUGGGGCAUCAGGGGCUCUAUCAUACCCUUCCUCAGGUCAGAGUCACUGACGGCAGAGCCCUCGGUGUCGAGGUCAUUUGGGCAAAGGGGUCUGCAGAGUGCGGCUCCAACUCAGCGUUCCUCAGCUUGCAGCCUCCUGAAACUCAGUCACAGGUUGAAACUGCAACCCCGCUGGUGACUGCUUCCUUGUUGCUAAGCGACCAAAUAUCUGAUAUUAAGCUCCUGUUGAUGAAGCUAA
This is a long non-coding RNA of Heterocephalus glaber (naked mole-rat), 3141 nucleotides long. Lineage: Eukaryota; Metazoa; Chordata; Mammalia; Rodentia; Bathyergidae. The record is from Ensembl.